GCGGGCGUGGUCGAGUGGUAAGAUGUUUGCUUCCCAAGCAAAAGACUGCCGGUUCGAUUCCGGUCGCCCGCUCCA
This 75-nucleotide transfer RNA is filed under the name Candidatus Uhrbacteria bacterium CG_4_9_14_3_um_filter_36_7. RNAcentral describes it as "tRNA-Gly". It matches the Rfam family "tRNA". Rfam says of the family: Transfer RNA (tRNA) molecules are approximately 80 nucleotides in length. Their secondary structure includes four short double-helical elements and three loops (D, anti-codon, and T loops). The record is from RNAcentral. Lineage: Bacteria; Candidatus Uhriibacteriota.